AGAGUUUGAUCCUGGCUCAGAAUGAACGCUGGCGGCGUGCGUAACACAUGCAAGUCGAACGAGAAAUUCCGGGCUUGCUCGGGAGAGUAAAGUGGCGAACGGGUGAGUAACGCGUGGGUAAUCUACCUCCGAAUUGGGGAUAACAUUGCGAAAGCGGUGCUAAUACCGAAUAAUAUCCCCGGGACCCCGGUCUUGGUGAUCAAAGGUGGCCUCUACAUGUAAGCUACCGUUUGGAGAUGAGCCCGCGUACCAUUAGCUUGUUGGUAGGGUAAUGGCCUACCAAGGCUUCGAUGGUUAGCUGGUCUGAGAGGAUGAUCAGCCACACUGGAACUGGCACACGGUCCAGACUCCUACGGGAGGCAGCAGUGAGGAAUUUAGCGCAAUGGGGGAAACCCUGACGCAGCAACGCCGCGUGAGUGAUGAAGGCCUUCGGGUCGUAAAGCUCUGUCAAGUGGGAAGAACCUGCUUCGUGAUAACACCACGGGGCACUGACGGUACCACUGAAGGAAGCACCGGCUAACUCCGUGCCAGCAGCCGCGGUAAUACGGGGGGUGCUAGCGUUAUUCGGAAUCAUUGGGCGUAAAGGGCGCGUAGGCGGUCGCUUAAGUCAGAUGUGAAAGCCCUCGGCUUAACCGAGGAAGUGCAUUUGAUACUAAGUGACUUGAGUAUGGGAGAGGGAAGCGGAAUUCCUGGUGUAGCGGUGAAAUGCGUAGAUAUCAGGAGGAACACCGGUGGCGAAGGCGGCUUCCUGGACCAAUACUGACGCUGAGGCGCGAAGGCGUGGGGAGCAAACAGGAUUAGAUACCCUGGUAGUCCACGCAGUAAACGGUGAACACUAGGUGUAGCGGGUAUUGACCCCUGCUGUGCCGAAGCUAACGCAUUAAGUGUUCCGCCUGGGAAGUACGGCCGCAAGGUUAAAACUCAAAGGAAUUGACGG
This 937-nucleotide ribosomal RNA is filed under the name uncultured delta proteobacterium. RNAcentral describes it as "bacterial SSU rRNA". It matches the Rfam family "Bacterial small subunit ribosomal RNA", at positions 8 to 916 of the family's 1533-position model. Lineage: Bacteria; Deltaproteobacteria. The record is from RNAcentral.